RNAcentral lists this ribosomal RNA (150 nucleotides) under Timandra comae. RNAcentral describes it as "partial large subunit ribosomal RNA". The record is from RNAcentral. Lineage: Eukaryota; Metazoa; Arthropoda; Insecta; Lepidoptera; Geometridae.
GAUAUUUAAUUUUAUUAAUAAUUAUUUGUUUAUAUUAAAUUAUUUUAAUAAAAUAAAUUAUUUUAUUGGGGUGAUAAAAAAACAUAAAUAACUUUUUUUAAAUUUAUUUCAUAUAUAAGUGUAUAACUGAUCCAAUAUUAUUGAUUAAAA